AGUGCGGCCGUCAUGGCGUCGCCCUUCAGCGGGGCGCUGCAGCUGACGGACCUGGAUGACUUCAUCGGGCCGUCUCAGGAGUGCAUCAAGCCUGUCAAAGUGGAAAAAAGGGCGGGAAGUGGCGUGGCCAAGAUUCGCAUUGAAGAUGACGGGAGCUACUUCCAAAUUAACCAAGUAAGGCACAGGAGGCUGCUCCACCAUCUCUCCUGCCCGGCUGAUCCAAAACACUUUUCUCUGCUUCCUCCCGGCACGGAGCAGUGACCCUGAGACGCCCCAGGUCUCACCAGUCCUUUCCCACUGGUCGAAUUCACCUGCCAUCUGGGAGGCUGGGGGGCAGGGUGCCUGGGGCAGGUGAAUGAGCAGCACUCAGGCCAAAUAGCUUGAUCUGCUCAGCAGAGGGGCUCUUUGCAGAGAUGGUGGAUCCUGUCUGCCUGUUCCCCCUAGUUCUAACCAUGUAAGAUUUUCUAAUUCAGACCCCUCAUUCUUUUUUUUU
This 493-nucleotide small RNA is filed under the name Pongo abelii (Sumatran orangutan). RNAcentral's name for it is "processed transcript". The record is from RNAcentral. Lineage: Eukaryota; Metazoa; Chordata; Mammalia; Primates; Hominidae.